AUUGAACACUGGCGGCAGGCCUAACACAUGCAAGUCGAGCGGAUGAAGGGAGCUUGCUCCUGGAUUCAGCGGCGGACGGGUGAGUAAUGCCUAGGAAUCUGCCUGGUAGUGGGGGAUAACGUCCGGAAACGGGCGCUAAUACCGCAUACGUCCUGAGGGAGAAAGUGGGGGAUCUUCGGACCUCACGCUAUCAGAUGAGCCUAGGUCGGAUUAGCUAGUUGGUGGGGUAAAGGCCUACCAAGGCGACGAUCCGUAACUGGUCUGAGAGGAUGAUCAGUCACACUGGAACUGAGACACGGUCCAGACUCCUACGGGAGGCAGCAGUGGGGAAUAUUGGACAAAGGGCGAAAGCCUGAUCCAGCCAUGCCGCGUGUGUGAAGAAGGUCUUCGGAUUGUAAAGCACUUUAAGUUGGGAGGAAGGGCAGUAAGUUAAUACCUUGCUGUUUUGACGUUACCAACAGAAUAAGCACCGGCUAACUUCGUG
RNAcentral lists this ribosomal RNA (484 nucleotides) under uncultured bacterium. RNAcentral describes it as "partial 16S ribosomal RNA". It matches the Rfam family "Bacterial small subunit ribosomal RNA", at positions 30 to 507 of the family's 1533-position model. The record is from RNAcentral.